UCAAAUUGCAAUUCGCUGCGUUUUGAACGUUCGAAACCGGAGCGUCCGAAAACGUAGGUGGGUGAGAAACGCUGCGUUUUGAACGAGGUCUCGGAAAUUCAAACCCCUACAUCGAACAGAUUUUCGCCGCUCAGAUUUAUUUCUGUCACUCGGUUUAUUCCGGAGACUGGGUUAUCGAAUCACGAACAGCUCGGUGAUUCCAAAAAUGGAAUCUGGAUCGAAGGAGGCUGAAGUAAACAAUCUCGAGAAGCAAUGGUCACUGGAUGAUUUCGAGAUCGGGAAACCCCUCGGCAAAGGCAAGUUCGGCAGAGUCUAUCUGGCCCGAGAAGUCAAGAGUAAAUAUGUGGUGGCUCUGAAGGUGAUAUUCAAGGAACAGAUAGAGAAGUACAGAAUUCAUCAUCAGCUAAGGAGAGAGAUGGAGAUCCAGACAAAACUGCACCACCCCAAUAUUCUGCGUCUCUACGGUUGGUUCCAUGACAGUGAGCGCAUUUUCUUGAUUCUCGAGUAUGCUCAUGGCGGUGAGCUCUAUGGCCUCCUUAAAAAGAACGGUCAUCUCAAUGAAAAACAAGCCGCCACGUAUAUUGCAAGUCUCACUCAGGCACUGGCUUAUUGUCACGGAAAAUGUGUGAUUCACAGAGACAUCAAGCCUGAAAACUUGUUGCUUGAUCAUGAGGGUAGGUUGAAAAUCGCCGACUUUGGAUGGUCUGUACAGUCUAGUAGCAAGAGAAAAACAAUGUGUGGAACGUUGGAUUACUUGGCGCCUGAAAUGGUGGAAAACAGAGACCAUGAUUAUGCUGUUGAUAACUGGACUUUAGGCGUACUGUGUUAUGAGUUUCUCUAUGGUAACCCUCCGUUCGAGGCAGAGAGUCAAAAAGAUACAUUCAAGAGGAUUGUUAGGGUUGACCUGAGUUUUCCUUUGACGCCUUAUGUUUCUGCGGAAGCCAAAAAUCUCAUCAGUCAGCUUCUUAUGAAGGAUCCCUCAAAGCGGCUCUCUCUCCAGAAGAUCAUGCAGCAUCCUUGGAUCGUCAAGAACGCAGAUCCCAAGGGAAUGUGCAGCAAGUAAAAGCUUCUGAGCCCUGAUGCUAGUUUCCCAAUCUCAGGACAAAUAGCAUAUCUUUUCAAUCCACUGUCUCCACAUUGUAAUGAUGCAUAUAGAAAGGGACCCUGUAGGUCCAACCAUUGAAUUUAUCUGUCUCUGUGAUCGACUAUUUUUUACGAACCCGAAACACAUCUAAACACCCAAACACGCUGACAAGUCAUCGUUGCCUUCACCCCUUAAAGCUGUAUCAGUAAUGGUGGUGUCGGUACUGCAACUGCAAUUGCUCUUUCCAUCACAACCUUGGCUAAGGUAAUUUGCAGGGACCGACAUAGAGAGUUCUGGUAUUCAGUUUGGCAUUAUCAUCUCUGUCUUUGCAAGCUGCAGAUCCUGCAUUUGCAAUCGUGGAGUACGGAACAGAAGAGGUAUUAACUUCUGCAUUGGUAUGCACGUGUUUAGGACAGUAUUUCUGAAAAGGUAAUGCAUCUUUCCGUCAUCUCCACUUCUUUCCAUCUGUUCUUCGACACCUUCCUGGUUCAUUUUCUUUUUCAGCUCUAUUUAAUGGAAACCCACCAAGAGGAAGCAACUCGACAGUGAGAGGAGGCACAUGAGCUAAAGAUCAAGAAAAGACAAUCUCAAAUGGAUUACAUAUGUCUGAAACUCAUGUUGUAGAGCAACUCACAAUCUCAAAUGGAUUGCAGUCGACAAGUCUGCUUCUUGCGCUUAUAUCUUUCUUGUUGCUGCCUAAGAACUUCGCAGCUUCAUCAAGUGAAGGGCUAUAACCAGAUACCUCAGUGCCACGGCACACAUGCUCGGGAAAGCGCCUGCAGAUGAAGAGGCCAUCCUCGCCUGACCAACGCUGCUUUCCACUCGUCUCUGGGUGCCUUCCUGCUUUAUAAUUCGGCUCACUCCGCAUUAGAAAAACAAAAGCUCAGUGACCACCGGCUCCACGACGCGCCCACGCUUCUCUCUUUGUGAGUCCAACUUGGGCCCAUUCUAGGCCCAUUAUGUGAUUUUAAUUUGGACCAAUUUCUUCUACAUGAGUCAUAUUUUGCCAUCAUGUUCGCUAGUUGUGUAUAUGGGAUUCGAUGUUACAAUUUACAACGUACAAGAUUCUGUUGGUCGCGUCAAAUAUUAAAUACAAUAAGUCCGAGUUAUGGCCAUGAGGAUUGUUAAAUUGU
This is an RNA transcript of Tarenaya hassleriana, 2217 nucleotides long. It is a transcript of the gene named serine/threonine-protein kinase Aurora-3, with no coding region annotated. The transcript has 7 exons. NCBI's taxonomy places the organism in Eukaryota, Viridiplantae, Streptophyta, Magnoliopsida, Brassicales, Cleomaceae. The record is from RefSeq and is a predicted model, not a curated record.